Molecule: long non-coding RNA, 2286 nt
Organism: Betta splendens (Siamese fighting fish)
Lineage: Eukaryota; Metazoa; Chordata; Actinopteri; Anabantiformes; Osphronemidae
Exons: 2
Source: RefSeq, a predicted model, not a curated record
AGGCUACAAUACUGCCACUGCGAAAGAAUGAUGCACAGACGUUAGAGAGGAGGGGCCUCUAACAUCUGCACACCCCACCAAACUUCCUUUUUUACUUCUCUAAGUGCUGACUCCUAGUUUUCUGAUGUUUCUGGAAAUUUAGUGUUUAAGGAAAAACAGAAAUCUUUCCUUGGUGCAUGGUUUAGUUCAACAUAUUAAAACAGUGUUAUAAUCCAAAAUUCAUUAUAACUUUUAAUGAUUUUGUUGAUUUCUGUACGGAACUUUAGCUCUUGAUCUGUCAUGGACCACACCUGGCAGCGCUACUCCAUCUGUCGUACUUUGACCUUUCAGUUCCUCAUACUGAGUCAACAUAUUGCUAAAUAACAAUUGAGUAACUUGCAGAAGUGUGACAAAUGCAUGUAGUUGUGCAAGUUUUCUAUUUAAUUUAGCUGUUUUUCAUAAACAGUGUCAGUUGCUUAUUUGCUCAUUACAACAUUCUGCUUAAGUUUAGUAUAGUGAAACUGUGCAUAGCUGCAUAGAUAAGUAGUUAAUCUCCAAACUGAGCCCUGUAAGUUUUAAUCAAGGCCACGUGGCCAUAAGACAGGAAAUCACUUCAAGAAUAUUCUAUGGAUCUCCUGUGUCAGACCAAUCUAAACAUUUUGCCACCAAACAGUCCACUGCAGCACAGGAGGCUUAUUGUAAUUGUGGAUUCUCUAAAAUUGUUGAAGCAACCAAGUUUUCAAAUAUGGGAACAUUGGAAAUAUGUAGGACCUGAGACAGAAACCUGAGUCAGAAACGUUCAGGAUGUCAAAAAACUCCUGAGUAAGCUAAAGCUAAUGAAGGAAUAAACUAUAUGGCCUAUGAUGCUCCUGGCUGCAGUACAGUGGCCCACGGGUCUAUUCUGGGUGUGUGUCCAAGGUAGAGUGAAAUAGUUGCAGAGCUAGUGGGAAUAAGUGGGAAUAAGCGUGUGUGUGUGUGUGUGUGUGUGUGUGUGUGUGUGUGUGUGUGUGUGUGUGUGUGUGUGUGUGUGUGUGUGUGUGUGGAUAGACUCACACAUUGUUGGGUGGGUGCGAUUACUGAAUUUAUCCUUGCUCGUCACAGGUGUCUGGUCACCACUCAAUGUACAUGCCACCUCUGAAAGUGAUAUUAUCAGUCUGGUGAAAAAUGCUGCCAUAAAAACUAUUACUUGUUAUUUAAAACACAAUACAAAACAAAAGCUGAAUAUGUCCACUGAAUUACAUGUUUUCUACAGUACAAUUAACCAAUUUAAUGAUUAACUUUAAACAUACACAGCUGUGAUUCUGUUAUGUGUACAAAGUGAGAUCACUGAGCCAGUGGGUGGUAAAGAUACUGAAGUCCUGCCCACCAGGGCCGCUUUUACAACAUACACAGAAUUAUUUAAUAUAUUAACACAUCAUUUAAAUGAGCAACGUACUGCACAAUAUAUAAACCCACUGAUUCAGACUUUGACCAACUCCUGCCUCAACCACAACAGUUGAACCAGCAACCAACAACUCAUCAACAAGGGCAACAUGGAAAUCAUGAAGAUGAAGUUUACCUGCCUGCUUCUGACCCUGUUUCUCUCUGAAACUCUCUCUGUGCCUACAACUACUUGGUUAAGCUUCCGUCAGAAACACCUGAUCAGUGGAAACUUCAGAACAUGUAAGGACCACAUGAAGCCCAUCAACCGUGCUGCGAGGGACUGUAAAUACACAAACACCUUCAUUAUGGACCCCAAUGAUACAGUCAUUGGUCUCUGCCAGGGACGUAACGGACCUAUUACAUCUACUGCACGUUAUGGUCUGGUGCUCUGUAGAGGAGGGGGCAGUUUUCCUCACUGUACCUAUGAUGAUGGUGUAAUGUUCAAUGGAUAUAUCAGAAUGCAGUGCUUCCGUGAUGAGCCUGAACAUUACAUAGGACAUGCUUAAAGACAGUGGUUAUAAUCAAGAUUGUUCAGCCUGAGCAGUGUUGUUCCUGCUGUGUACUAGAGAGCUGUUUAUUCAAAAUCAAUACAUACAUGCCUAGUACAGGUGUUUUAUUAGGCUGUUAUAAUAACUUCUAUUCUUGCUUUUCUUACAUUUAUGCAUUUAUAAGGUUAAAUAGGGAAAGAACCAUGACUCUCAAAACAUCAGAUUCAGUAUGUGGGGAGACCUGUGGAAUCCUUGGCUGAUGGAUUGCUGGGUCCACAGCAGCCAGUAUGUCCAUCAAAACCUAACACAAUUUAUUAUGAUCUAUUCAUGUACUGUUAACUCACCAUACACCUUUUUUGUUCUUUUGCAUCAGCUGAAUAAAGUUUUCAAAAUUUGA